Long non-coding RNA from Vigna angularis (adzuki bean), 7100 nucleotides. RefSeq lists it as uncharacterized. NCBI's taxonomy places the organism in Eukaryota, Viridiplantae, Streptophyta, Magnoliopsida, Fabales, Fabaceae. The transcript has 3 exons. The record is from RefSeq and is a predicted model, not a curated record.
CAUUCUCUUAUGCUCUCAUUUCCGUAUUCUUAGGAUUGGACAGCAAAGGGAACUCUCUCCCACAGGUACGACCUCAAUCAAGCCUCAUCCCGUAGCGUCGGACCUGUCAGAAUACUUCCUCCAAAUCUUCAAUAUGGCUCGAGCAGGAUCCGGAACGGACCACCAUGUCGUCCAUAUACACAUCCAUUCACCGCCAAUCUGUUCCGCGAAGAUUCUAUUCAUCAAGUGUUGGUAAGUCGCCCCCGCGUUCUUCAAUCUGAAGGGCAUGACUUCAUAACUGUAAUUAGCUUUUUCCGUUAUAAAGGCUGUCUUUUCCCUGUCCGGUGCGUACAUUGCAAUUUGGUUAUAACCCGAGUAUGUCUCCAGAAAACAUAGCAUUUUGAGGCCGGACACCUUGUCAACCAAACCAUCGAUACUCUAGAGAGGGUGGGCAUCUUUGGGGCAGGCCUUGUUGAGAUCUGUGUAGUCGUUGCACAUGCGCCAUUUUCCACUAGCCUUUUACUCCAUGACUACGUUUGCAAGCCAAGUGGUAUAAGUCACCUCCUUCACGAAUCCUGCCUCCUUCAAUUUGUCGACCUCCUCCUCCAUGACCUUCCUCUUCUCGUCAACCAGCUUUCUCCUCUUCUGGGCGACCGGUCUUGCCUCUUUGAAUAGGGCCAGCUUAUGAGACAUGACUGAUGGGUGUAUCCUUGGCAAAUUGGUGGACGUCCAGGCAAAGAGGUCUCGAUUACGCCAUAGAAUGGACCAGAGCUUUCGCUCAACAUCUUCCAGGCUUCCGGCUAUCGAGGUGGUUUGUGAGGCAUCGUUUCCUAUUACUACCGAUUUUAGUUCCCCUAGGGGCUCCAUGCAGUCCUCUGUGUUAGUACGUGGGUCGAGGUAAGCCAUGGCUACUUACUGAGUGUGGAUGAAGCUUUAGGUAAGCAGCAUAACACUCUUGCGCUAUUUUCUGAUCUGCCCGAACGGUGCACACCGUCCCCCUCCCCGUCGGAUACUUCAUGGUGAGGUGUGGGGUUGAGACUAUUGCGCCAAAAGCGUUCAGGCAGGGCCAACCCAAAAGAACAUUGUAAGAUGUGUUGGCCUUUACCAACAUAUACCGCACCCACAUCUCGUCACUAUCUCGGCCGGUUCCCAAGCGAGUGCGAAGAUCUACGUAGCUACUUGUGUCCACUAGCUCUCCAGCGAAACCCACUAUAUGUUCAUUAUAAGGGACUAUAAGAUCCUCAGUCAAGUCCAUCUUCUGGAACGUCCUCUAGAAGAGGAUGUUGACAGAACUGCCCUGAUUGACAAGUACCUUGCUCACGCUAUACCUAGCUAUCUCGGCAGUAACAACCAUACGGUCAUCCUACUCCCGGUCGGGAGCAUUAAAAUCUUCAUAAGUGAAGGUGAUUGGAGGCAUAGUGCUUCUAGGCCUAUACACAGCAUGGACCGACCGGAGAGCCUGUACGUGCCGUUUUCUAGCCGACGACGACGAUCCGCCUUCGGCAAAGCCGUCGGAGAUCGUGUUGAUGUGACCACGUAGUGACCGGUCAUGGCUUCCGCUGCGGCUUCAGCUCCGCCUUCGCUCCGACUAAGGGUGAUUAUUUUCCCCUAUCGUGGACGACCCUUGUACUCUCGCUUUUUCGGGCUUCUCCGUCGUGGACUACGUCAAGAUCGUUAAACAUGUUUGGCUGGCCGCUCGGCCUUCACGUACUUCUUUAACUGACUCGCUCGAACCAGCUCCUCAAUCUUGUCCAUCAGGGUUACACACUCCUCCGUAGUGUGGCCCAUGUUCUUGUGGUAUAAAUAGUGUUUGUUACCAUUCGCCCCUGGUGGCAUGGGGCGUCGCUUCUGCGCCGGAAUCAGUUUCGCGCUCAGCACCUCUUACAAUAUCUUCGCCCGAGGAGCGUUCAAUGGGGUGUACUGUUGAAAAUGAGACCCUUUAGGUAACUCUUUGUUUGAACUCUCCCAGUCUUCCGAACGGACCGCCUUGCUUCUUGGUAUCCGUCUUCUCCCCCUUCGCUUCUUGACCCUCCUUCCUAUAGCUUUGUUUCAUCUCUUCUACCCUUAUUUCGUCGGCCACCCGUUCUCUCAGCUCUUCCAUGAUCUUUGGUGCCCGUCGGCACACACUAUCCUUAAAGGGUCCCGGCUUCAAGGCUGGUAGUAUGUAUUGGAGGGCAAGCUCGUAAUUAAGACCCUUUACCCGCCGCACGAUUUUCUGAUAGCGAUCCAUAAAAGUCCUCAAGGGUUCUUCAUUCCCCUACCUUAGGUUCACGAGCUCAAAAAUGGUUAGGUCGUAAGCCCGACUACUAACGAACUGGCGUCCAAACAUGACUUUGAGGCUCUCAAAGUUUUCGAUAGAAUUAGGGGGCAGCGAGUUGAACCACUCUAAUGCCUCUCCUUCGAGCGAUAGAGAGAAAGCUCGGCACUAGAUAGUGUCGUUCCCGGUGUUGAACGCCAGUCGGUUGGUCGUCUUGAUAUGAUCGUCCGGAUCAGUCGUCCCAUCAUAAAUCUUGAAAUUGGGCGGGACGAACUGUUCGGAUAUGUGAACAUCCAUAAUAGUUUGGAUGAACGGUAAGUUUCCGGAAGUGCUCUCGGCUUUCACCACCAAUUGUCUACUAACUACAACACUCUCGGCAAGGAUGAUCUUUGUCCCACUCUCUCGGACCCUGGUCUCGGUCGGCUUCCACGUCUCGUCCGACAUAGUAUUUUGUUCAGUCCUCUCCUCCUAAGCAGCCUUGCCCCGACCCUCUAGUGCCUUCUACCCCGUUUUCGGGAUCUUCUUCUAAGCAAUCUAAGCCGAACACUUGGCCCGAACGACUGCCAACUCAGCCUCAUGACGUUGUUGUUUUCUUCCAUUUUCUGUUGUAGCAUCCUAAUCAUCUCUGUGGGGUCUUUAGUGCUCAUGUUCCUCGUGGUCACCAUUGGGUUUGACAAGUCCAUCUUCUGGAACGUCCUCUAGAAGAGGAUGUUGACAGAACUGCCCUGAUUGACAAGUAACUUGCUCACGCUAUACCUAGCUAUCUCGGCAGUAACAACCAUACGGUCAUCCUACUCCCGGUCGGGAGCAUUAAAAUCUUCAUAAGUGAAGGUGAUUGGAGGCAUAGUGCUUCUAGGCCUAUACACAGCAUGGACCGACCGGAGAGCCUGUACGUGCCGUUUUCUAGCCGACGACGACGAUCCGCCUUCGGCAAAGCCGUCGGAGAUCGUGUUGAUGUGACCACGUAGUGACCGGUCACGGCUUCCGCUGCGGCUUCAGAUCCGCCUUCGCUCCGACUAAGGGUGAUUAUUUUCCCCUGUCGUGGACGACCCUUGUACUCUCGCUUUUUCGGGCUUCUCCGUCGUGGACUACGUCAAGAUCGUUAAACAUGUUUGGCUGGCCGCUCGGCCUUCACGUACUUCUUUAACUGACUCGCUCGGACCAGCUCCUCAAUCUUGUCCAUCAGGGUUACACACUCCUCCGUAGUGUGGCCCAUGUUCUUGUGGUAUAAAUAGUGUUUGUUACCAUUCGCCCCUGGUGGCAUGGGGCGUCGCUUCUGCGCCGGAAUCAGUUUCGCACUCAGCACCUCCUACAAUAUCUUCUCCCGAGGAGCGUUCAAUGGGGUGUACUGUUGAAAAUGAGACCCUUUAGGUAACUCUUUGUUUGAACUCUCCCAGUCUUCCGAACGGACCGCCUUGCUUCUUGGUAUCCGUCUUCUCCCCCUUCGCUUCUUGACCCUCCUUCCUAUAGCUUUGUUUCAUCUCUUCUACCCUUAUUUCGUCGGCCACCCGUUCUCUCAGCUCUUCCAUGAUCUUUGGUGCCCGUCGGCACACACUAUCCUUAAAGGGUCCCGGCUUCAAGGCUGGUAGUAUGUAUUGGAGGGCAAGCUCGUAAUUAAGACCCUUUACCCGCCGCACGAUUUUCUGAUAGCGAUCCAUAAAAGUCCUCAAGGGUUCUUCAUUCCCCUACCUUAGGUUCACGAGCUCAAAAAUGGUUAGGUCUUAAGCCCGACUACUAACGAACUGACGUCCAAACAUGACUUUGAGGCUCUCAAAGUUUUCGAUAGAAUUAGGGGGCAGCGAGUUGAACCACUCUAACGCCUCUCCUUCGAGCGAUAGAGAGAAAGCUCGGCACUAGAUAGUGUCGUUCCCGGUGUUGAACGCCAGUCGGUUGGUCGUCUUGAUAUGAUCGUCCGGAUCAGUCGUCCCAUCAUAAAUCUUGAAAUUGGGCGGGACGAACUGUUCGGAUAUGUGAACAUCCAUAAUAGUUUGGAUGAACGGUAAGUUUCCGGAAGUGCUCUCGGCUUUCACCACCAAUUGUCUACUAACUACAACACUCUCGGCAAGGACGAUCUUUGUCCCACUCUCUCGGACCCUGGUCUCGGUCGGCUUCCACGUCUCGUCCGACAUAGUAUUUUGUUCAGUCCUCUCCUCCUAGGCAGCCUUGCCCCGACCCUCUAGUGCCUUCUACCCCGUUUUCGGGAUCUUCUUCUAAGCAAUCUGAGCCGAACACUUGGCCCGAACGAUUGCCAACUCAGCCUCAUGACGUUGUUGUUUUCUUCCAUUUUCUGUUGUAGCAUCCUAAUCAUCUCUGUGGGGUCUUUAGUGCUCAUGUUCCUCGUGGUCACCAUUGGGUUUGACAAGUCCAUCUUCUGGAACGUCCUCUAGAAGAGGAUGUUGACAGAACUGCCCUGAUUGACAAGUACCUUGCUCACGCUAUACCUAGCUAUCUCGGCAGUAACAACCAUACGGUCAUCCUACUCCCGGUCGGGAGCAUUAAAAUCUUCAUAAGUGAAGGUGAUUGGAGGCAUAGUGCUUCUAGGCCUAUACACAGCAUGGACCGACCGGAGAGCCUGUACGUGCCGUUUUCUAGCCGACGACGACGAUCCGCCUUCGGCAAAGCCGUCGGAGAUCGUGUUGAUGUGACCACGUAGUGACCGGUCACGGCUUCCGCUGUGGCUUCAGAUCCGCCUUCGCUCCGACUAAGGGUGAUUAUUUUCCCCUAUCGUGGACGACCCUUGUACUCUCGCUUUUUCGGGCUUCUCCGUCGUGGACUACGUCAAGAUCGUUAAACAUGUUUGGCUGGCCGCUCGGCCUUCACGUACUUCUUUAACUGACUCGCUCGGACCAGCUCCUCAAUCUUGUCCAUCAGGGUUACACACUCCUCCGUAGUGUGGCCCAUGUUCUUGUGGUAUAAAUAGUGUUUGUUACCAUUCGCCCCUGGUGGCAUGGGGCGUCGCUUCUGCGCCGGAAUCAGUUUCGCACUCAGCACCUCUUACAAUAUCUUCGCCCGAGGAGCGUUCAAUGGGGUGUACUGUUGAAAAUGAGACCCUUUAGGUAACUCUUUGUUUGAACUCUCACAGUCUUCCGAACGGACCGCCUUGCUUCUUGGUAUCCGUCUUCUCCCCCUUCGCUUCUUGACCCUCCUUCCUAUAGCUUUGUUUCAUCUCUUCUACCCUUAUUUCGUCGGCCACCCGUUCUCUCAGCUCUUCCAUGAUCUUCGGUGCCCGUCGGCACACACUAUCCUUAAAGGGUCCUGGCUUCAAGGCUGGUAGUAUGUAUUGGAGGGCAAGCUCGUAAUUAAGACCCUUUACCCGCCGCACGAUUUUCUGAUAGCGAUCCAUAAAAGUCCUCAAGGGUUCUUCAUUCCCCUACCUUAGGUUCACGAGCUCAAAAAUGGUUAGGUCUUAAGCCCGACUACUAACGAACUGGCGUCCAAACAUGACUUUGAGGCUCUCAAAGUUUUCGAUAGAAUUAGGGGGCAGCGAGUUGAACCACUCUAACCCCUCUCCUUCGAGCGAUAGAGAGAAAGCUCGGCACUAGAUAGUGUCGUUCCCGGUGUUGAACGCCAGUCGGUUGGUCGUCUUGAUAUGAUCGUCCGGAUCAGUCGUCCCAUCAUAAAUCUUGAAAUUGGGCGGGACGAACUGUUCGGAUAUGUGAACAUCCAUAAUAGUUUGGAUGAACGGUAAGUUUCCGGAAGUGCUCUCGGCUUUCACCACCAAUUGUCUACUAACUACAACACUCUCGGCAAGGACGAUCUUUGUCCCACUCUCUCGGACCCUGGUCUCGGUCGGCUUCCACGUCUCGUCCGACAUAGUAUUUUGUUCAGUCCUCUCCUCCUAGGCAGCCUUGCCCCGACCCUCUAGUGCCUUCUCCCCCGUUUUCGGGAUCUUCUUCUAAGCAAUCCGAGCCGAACACUUGGCCCGAACGACUGCCAACUCAGCCUCAUGACGUUGUUGUUUUCUUCCAUUUUCUGUUGUAGCAUCCUAAUCAUCUCUGUGGGGUCUUUAGUGCUCAUGUUCCUCGUGGUCACCAUUGGGUUUGACAAGUUACUCGGUCCCACGGUGGGCACCAAAAUGUUUCGGGUGUAAGGUCGAGUUACUUCCAACACCUGCACAAUUGCUGCUAUGAGACCGUCCGUUCUUCUACUCGAGUCUUCGUCUCUUAUCAGCCGUCCGGAGGUGUACCUGCCAAAGGUUCUCCGAUUCUAAAGUCAAUGAGUUGUCCGUUUGGUAGCUCAAUUCACAGUAAAUACUCUUAUCUACUUCUUACUUUUGACCUGUAUUUAUAGUUUUUGUCGUGGGCUUGGAAUUAGCAGAAUCUUGAUCACGGCCCAAUCCCAGCCCAAUACCUCUAAUCAUUAUUUACUUUAAUCUUUGUAAGAAUACCUGAUUAUGGAUUUUCACCGGUCGUUCAUUACUGACAAUCCUGCUAAGUUGAUCACAUGGUGGCUUUAUGGUCGUCCGUCCCAUAAUGUACAUGCCGAUCGUUCAUUAUCGAUUGUCCGACUAGGUUGAUCACAUGAUGGCUUUAUGGCUGUCCGCCCUUACGGUAUACAUUGUAAUUGCUUUGUAUUGUCUGAACGAUGAUACUAAGAAAAGGAAGGUUUGAUUUUGUUGCUUGACGUGGGCCCAUCCAUAUGCAUUCUGUUCUUCCUUGAGACUGAAAAAGUCUGCUCCUUGCGUGUACAAAAGAAGAUGAUGUUUAGAAAAGAUGAUAAAGUUGGAAUAGUGUUAUUUGGAACUAAGGGUACUCACUCGCUUUAAUCUUUGCUAUACAAUUAAUCUUGUUGAUUUGGUUUUACGUGUAUUACUUAUUUUAUUGUCAUGUGAUUCACUAAAAAGGGUGGCUGUCUGUAAUGCAGA